This 202-nucleotide long non-coding RNA is filed under the name Manihot esculenta (cassava). RNAcentral describes it as "long non-coding RNA (MESC_LNC012388)". The record is from RNAcentral. Lineage: Eukaryota; Viridiplantae; Streptophyta; Magnoliopsida; Malpighiales; Euphorbiaceae.
AAUGUUAUGUAAUAAUGUUUAGGGAAGUUUAGAGUUGUGCUUGACCAUAGUAUAUGUUAAUCCCUUUUUAGUACAUGAUCUCAAAUGUUUAAUGAUGAUUAUGGAAAACCAAACUUAAUGUAUGUAUGUUACCCCAUUGGAGCAUUGUUGAGGACUCCAGUGUGGGUUGAUGAUUAUGAUUAUGUAUAGUGCAUGCACAGGU